RNAcentral lists this ribosomal RNA (954 nucleotides) under Mucor circinelloides. RNAcentral describes it as "partial large subunit ribosomal RNA". Lineage: Eukaryota; Fungi; Mucoromycota; Mucoromycetes; Mucorales; Mucoraceae. The record is from RNAcentral.
AUGAUUUCCCUAGUAACGGCGAGUGAAGAGGAAAGAGCUCAAAGUUGGAAACUGUUUGGCUUAGCUAAACCGUAUUGUAAACUGUAGAAACAUUUUCCUGGCACGCCGGAUUAAUAAGUCCUUUGGAACAAGGCAUCAUGGAGGGUGAGAAUCCCGUCUUUGAUCCGAGUAGUUGUCUUUUGUGAUAUGUUUUCAAAGAGUCAGGUUGUUUGGGAAUGCAGCCUAAAUUGGGUGGUAAAUCUCACCUAAAGCUAAAUAUUUGCGAGAGACCGAUAGCGAACAAGUACCGUGAGGGAAAGAUGAAAAGAACUUUGAAAAGAGAGUUAAACAGUAUGUGAAAUUGUUAAAAGGGAACCGUUUGGAGCCAGACUGGUUUGACUGUAAUCAACCUAGAAUUCGUUCUGGGUGCACUUGCAGUCUAUACCUGCCAACAACAGUUUGAUUUGGAGGAAAAAAUUAGUAGGAAUGUAGCCUCUCGAGGUGUUAUAGCCUACUAUCAUACUCUGGAUUGGACUGAGGAACGCAGCGAAUGCCWUUAGGCRAGAUUGCUGGGUGCUUUCGCUAAUAAAUGUUAGAAUUUCUGCUUCGGGUGGUGCUAAUGUUUAAAGGAGGAACACAUCUAGUAUAUUUUUUAUUCGCUUAGGUUGUUGGCUUAAUGACUCUAAAUGACCCGUCUUGAAACACGGACCAAGGAGUCCACCAUAAGUGCAAGUAUUUGAGUGACAAACUCAUAUGCGUAAGGAAACUGAUUGAUACGAAAUCUUUUGAUGGCAGUAUCACCCGGCGUUGACGUUUUAUACUGAACUGACCGAGGUAAAGCACUUAUGAUGGGACCCGAAAGAUGGUGAACUAUGCCUGAAUAGGGUGAAGCCAGAGGAAACUCUGGUGGAGGCUCGUAGCGAUUCUGACGUGCAAAUCGAUCGUCAAAUUUGGGUAUAGGGGCGAAAGACUAAU